RNAcentral lists this long non-coding RNA (701 nucleotides) under Ananas comosus (pineapple). Its description in RNAcentral is "long non-coding RNA (ACOM_LNC022627)". Lineage: Eukaryota; Viridiplantae; Streptophyta; Magnoliopsida; Poales; Bromeliaceae. The record is from RNAcentral.
AAAAAAUCUGGCUCAGUUCAAGCAAAAAAGAAGAGAACUUGAGCUAGUUUAGGAUGGAAUUCUUAUUCAAUAAUUAUUGGCUUAGUUCAGAUAAACUAAAAGAGAAAUCCGGUUCAAAGAUAGAAAUAUAUAGAGCAAUUGGUUUGGUUCGAUCUAAUAAAGUAAGUUGACCCGGUUCAACAUUAUUGAUUUGGUUCAGAUAAUUAAAAAAGAAAUCUAGUUCAAAGAUGGAAAUAUAUAGAAUAAUUGAUUCGGUCCAAUGAAGCAAAUUGAUCCUGUUGUUCAAGCACAAACAGAGAAAAAUUAUAUAAUUAUUUGGAGGACUUGAGCUGGUUCAAGGUGACACCCAAUAACCCGGUUUGGUUCAAACAAAGAAAAAGAAAUUAGUAGAGCCCACAUUUAAUUUAACAAAAAAAAAAAUGAAGCCAUGUGGCAAAGUUUAAGAGAAAUAAUGUAUAGGUAUAGAGAUAUGGAUAUAGAUAGAUAUAGAUUUGGAUAUAUGACCCUCUUCUUGCCACGAAAGUGUCACGUUGGUAAUUUUAAGUUGAACACGGUGAUUGAAUCACCGUAUUUAUAUUUACACUUUAGUCAUUUUUUCUUACUUUAGGUGCAAUAAAAAAUAAAAAAAAUAAUGCGGUAAUUCAAUUACCGUGUUCAACUAGUACCUAGGUGCUCGGGUGGCAAGAAAAAAAUUAUUUAUU